RNAcentral lists this ribosomal RNA (395 nucleotides) under uncultured bacterium. RNAcentral describes it as "bacterial SSU rRNA". It matches the Rfam family "Bacterial small subunit ribosomal RNA", at positions 64 to 507 of the family's 1533-position model. The record is from RNAcentral.
GAACGCCCCGCAAGGGGAGUGGCAGACGGGUGAGUAACGCGUGGGAACAUACCCUUCGGUUCGGAAUAACUCAGGGAAACUUGAGCUAAUACCGGAUACGUGCGAGAGCAGAAAGAUUCAUCGCCGAAGGAUUGGCCCGCGUUCGAUUAGCUAGUUGGUGAGGUAACGGCUCACCAAGGCGACGAUCGAUAGCUGGUCUGAGAGGAUGAUCAGCCACAUUGGGACUGAGACACGGCCCAAACUCCUACGGGAGGCAGCAGUGGGGAAUAUUGGACAAUGGGCGAAAGCCUGAUCCAGCCAUGCCGCGUGAGUGAUGAAGGCCCUAGGGUUGUAAAGCUCUUUCGUCAGGGACGAUAAUGACGGUACCUGAAGAAGAAGCCCCGGCUAACUUCGUG